RNAcentral lists this ribosomal RNA (433 nucleotides) under uncultured bacterium. Its description in RNAcentral is "partial 16S ribosomal RNA". It matches the Rfam family "Bacterial small subunit ribosomal RNA", at positions 29 to 507 of the family's 1533-position model. The record is from RNAcentral.
AGCGAACGCUGGCGGCAGGCUUAACACAUGCAAGUCGAGCGGGCCCUUCGGGGUCAGCGGCGGACGGGUGAGUAACGCGUGGGAACGUGCCUUCUGGUCUGGAAUAACCCUGGGAAACUAGGGCUAAUACCGGAUACGCCCUUUUGGGGAAAGGUUUACUGCCGGAAGAUCGGCCCGCGUCUGAUUAGCUAGUUGGUGGGGUAACGGCCUACCAAGGCGACGAUCAGUAGCUGGUCUGAGAGGAUGAUCAGCCACACUGGGACUGAGACACGGCCCAGACUCCUACGGGAGGCAGCAGUGGGGAAUAUUGGGCAAUGGGCGCAAGCCUGAUCCAGCCAUGCCGCGUGAGUGAUGAAGGCCUUAGGGUUGUAAAGCUCUUUUAUCCGGGACGAUAAUGACGGUACCAGAGGAAUAAGCCCCGGCUAACUUCGUG